Apis laboriosa (Himalayan honeybee) is the source of this 3979-nucleotide RNA transcript. It is a transcript of the gene named pre-piRNA 3'-exonuclease trimmer-like, with no coding region annotated. Lineage: Eukaryota; Metazoa; Arthropoda; Insecta; Hymenoptera; Apidae. The record is from RefSeq and is a predicted model, not a curated record. The transcript is spliced from 13 exons.
UUCUUCAGAAAUGAUCUUUAAAACUAAGUAUUAUUUAACAAAUCAAAUUUUAAAUACGUAAAUUUUUAUUUCAUUUCAUCGCGAAAUUAAUUUUUUUGUGAUAAAAAUUAAUACUGUAGUUCUCAUUGGAUAUUCUAGGUUAUAUUCACAUUGUACAUUCAUACGUACAUUACGGUAUAUUUAAGAGGAAAGUUCCAGUGUAGAUAAAUAUAUAAAAUUUAAUAAUAUGAAUGAAGUUUUAAACAAGAAUUUUAAAACUUUGUAUCCAAAGUUGGAAAUUGCUGUAAACAAUGCAACUUUUAUUGCCAUCGAUGCUGAAUUUACUGGUCUAUAUUCAGAAGAGAAAUUGAAACAUAGCUUUUUUGAUACAUUCAAUGAUCGUUAUAAAUUAUUAAAGAAAAAUAUUGAGCAAUUUAUGAUAAUACAAUUUGGCAUUGCAACUUUUCGUCAUAUUCCUUAUGAAAAUACCUAUAAAGUAGAUUGUUUUAAUUCUUAUUUGUUUCCAAAAUCUAUACCAUUAAAAAAUAGACACUUAAUAUGGCAAGUGGCAGCAUUAGAGUUCCUUUGUAAACAUAAUUUUGAAUUUAAUAAAUUUUUAAAUGAAGGUAUUUCAUUCUUGGAUGAGACAGAUGAAAAGUUAUUAAAAAAUUAUAUAAAAGAAGGUAGUUUAGCAUAUAAUUUAAAUCAUUUAACAUAUGAAGAAGAAAAUGAGUUCAUAAACUAUAAAAUUAAAAUUUCUGAAUGGAUUGCUAAUAAGAGAAAUGGAGAAACAUUAAAGGUGGAAACUUCUAAUCCUAUAUUACAAUAUUUGAUACAUAAAGACAUAAGACACAAGUAUAAAAAUAUAUGGAGUAUAUCGGAUGAUAAAUCAGUAGGUAUUAUAGAAGUAUUACCUGACAUGUAUGAACUUUUAAGAAAAAAUGAUGAAGAAAAUUUGGAGAAAGAAUUAUUAGAUUAUUACAUAGGAUUUUCUAAAGUAUUUAAACUCUUGGCCUCUUCUAAAAAAAUAAUAAUAGGACAUAAUAUACUUUUAGAUUUAAUGUUUAUGCAUCAACAAUUUUAUAAACCAUUGCCAAAUUCAUAUAAUGAAUUCAAAAGCAAUAUACAUGAAUUAUUUCCACAAAUAUAUGACACAAAAUUUUUAAGUUACGAAGUACGAAAAUUAUUUAGCAAGGAAGAAGUGAGUUGGAAAAUAAGUUCAUUGAGUACUUUAUACGAAUAUUUUACAACUAAAGGAAAAUUAUUAACCUUGAAUUCACCAAAGAUUGCAAUUAAUGAAGAAUCUUCAAACUCAGAUAUUAUCCUAGAUGAAAAAAAAUAUCACACUGCUGGAUGGGAUGCUUACUUUGCUGGAUAUAUAUAUAUAAAAAUGGCACACAUAUUUUGUGUACAUAAAUUUGGAACAGGUUUGGAAGAAAGAAAAGUAACGCAUGCUGAACUAAUAAGUAGCAUAAAAAACUUUGUAAAUUGUAUAAAUAUAACAAGAGGCAAUGAAAUGUAUAUGAAAUUUGAUGGUCCAGAUCCAAUGUUAUCAAGACCAGAAUGGCUUCACGUGAAAUUAAAAUCACCAUCUGUAGAUAUUAAACAGUUGAUGGAGAAGUUUUCAUCUUUUGGCCAAGUGGAUGUGAUGCCUUUUGCUCAAAGACGUGUUUUGGUAGCUGUAGCAAACCAUAAAAGCGCGUUACACAUAUUGCGGCAUUUCAAUAGCAGCGAAGAAUUUCAGGUGGCAUGGUAUAGCCGCAUAAGGCACGCGACACCCAUCAGCAUCUGUUUGUGGAGCGGAGUCAUCUUGUCCGGAAGCUUAUUUGCCUGGAUGUUGAAAAAAUGUUUUUAAAAACCUACUUGAAUGUGAAUAUUUACCUGAAUGCAAUUGCGAUUAAAUAAUAAUCGUGUAAAUAAUAGUAGUUAUUAAUUAAAAGGUAACUGUUUAUUUAUCGAUUAAUAAUUGUAAGAAAAUAAUAUUUUAUAAUAUUGUAUUGCUAACAAAAUCACAGAUAAAUAGUUAAUUCGACCUAGAUAGUUUUAUUAAGUUCAUUGAACCGUUAUGGUUUUUCUUACAAGGAUAGCGAAAAACGAGGAGAAGAAAAUGAAAAAUGAAAGAGAGGUAAGAAAGUAUGGUUCAACUUCCGCCCGACUAUUCAGCCCAGGAAGAAUAUCUCCGUCUUUGUCUUCUUUUCUUACGCUCGUUCGCGAACACCGGCCGCAGAAUCUAUUUAAAUAUUAGAUUGAAAUCGCGAGUGGAAUCUUUGCGUGAGCUGUUAUUAUUAUUUCUCGUUCUGGUUUGUCGACGUUCCGGGCCAGAGCUCGUUUUCGUCAAGGAAUCUAUCCACCGUUGUGCCAAACCUGUGUGUUUGAGUUUUUCAAACUCGUGAAAAAUCCAAGUAAUUCUUUCCAACUUAUCCAUCGAUCGACACGCAUCUUUGCAUCUGUUAUAUCUUUUAUCUUAUAUUUUGUUUUAUUUAUUAUACUUAGGUAUAUAGUUUUGAUUUUUAUCAAAAUACAUCUUUUACAUUACAUCUUCUACAAAUAAUUUUCUUCAGGCACAUAAUAAAAAUUCAUAAGAUUCUUAGAAGAUUGAAAAUUUAUUCAAAUAAUUAUAUACAACAAUAACGUAUUAAACAAAACGAGGAACAAGUAAUAGUAUGUGACAGAUUGUAUCAUAAAUUUCGUGGCAAUCUUGGCAGAAAUGUUAGGACAGUCACGUUAAAAAACGAUUCAAAUAAUAUUUUUCAUUGUGAACAAUUGUUAAAAAUAUGAUAAACAUUGUAAAAUCUUCAAGAAAAUAUUCCUUUAUUAAUCAUGUCACCGUUGAUGGAUUCAACAAAUAUAACGAUUCCAAAUUCCUAUCCUAGGAGAAGAGGCAUGAUAUUCUUCUCGUCACGUUUUAGUUGCAGUUACUCGCACGGAUCACUUUGUGCUACUUUGUACUUAUCACAGAAUCCUGAUGGCCGAGGAAGAGACCAAGUGCUUCUCGAUAUUUCAAAAGUUUUCUCUGGCCAGCACCCAAGGCUAAAACACUCGAAAUAACGCAGUAGCAAUUUAUGUAGGCGUACUGCGGGACGGUCAGCCUGGUCACACUGGUAUCCGGUGGCAGGUGGAGCAGCUCUUGAGGUGGAUCCCAUUCUGUGUUUCUCUGGAUCCGGAUUCAACGAUAGAUGUAAAGGUCGCGAGCCUCAGGAACGAGGUCUAUGGAACUAGGUUAACUUCACUAUUUUCUCUUCUUAUUGAACAUCGAUAUCACGAACCAUAUGAAGCUAUAAUUUCUUUAGGAUUCUCUUGAAUAAUUAAUGAAUGAAUAAAGUUUCAAAAGAAAAAAAAUUGAUUGGUAACGAGAACUACUUUAUUCCCCGUACAAAAAAACUUGAAAAAUGAUAUCACGUGGCCACCCAAAAAUACUACGAGAGGUGACUCGAUCCAAUCGCCUUCACCUAUCGGUCCGGCCAGGACAAGAGGCAGCUUGGUCGGGUUGUACUGCCAGCAAAAAGAAGAGACGAUUGAAAAUACUCAUGUUCUGAUCUCUCACGUGUUUCGAAAUCCGUGCACCCGAGAAUCGUAAUGUUCUAUCAAGAAGCAACGGUGUGGGCCAGGCUGUGCGCGAUUUCGCUUUGGCAUCGGCCAAGCACCUGUCGCACGCAUCGCCACAGUGGAAAAUAGAAAAUCGUUUUCGAAAAAAGCACGCGCAUGCGCCGACGUAACGCGAUUACGUGGGUGUGUCGAGAUUAAUUGCUCGCGCCAAUUACCGAAAUAAUGGUAAACGGUCCCUUGUAACUAUGCAUAAUUAAAUCAGAAUUUUUAAACGAGAACAGAUUGUUAAAUAAGGUGAUGAAAAUUUAAUCGUUUUGUUCUUUGAUAUGAAUAAUGUAGAUUCUUGUUAGUUAGUUUUGGAGAAUUACAGGAAAAUUAUUUUUUUUUAUUAUCAAAUUCUAUAUACUAAACUUUAUAAAAUAUAAUGCAAAUUAAUUUAGAUUAUAUGUAUUUU